This 492-nucleotide ribosomal RNA is filed under the name uncultured bacterium. RNAcentral describes it as "bacterial SSU rRNA". It matches the Rfam family "Bacterial small subunit ribosomal RNA", at positions 903 to 1397 of the family's 1533-position model. The record is from RNAcentral.
AAAGGAAUUGACGGGGGCCCGCACAAGCAGUGGAGUAUGUGGUUUAAUUCGAAGCAACGCGAAGAACCUUACCAGGGCUUGACAUACCGCUGACCGGUCUGGAGACAGACCUUUCCUUCGGGACAGCGGAUACAGGUGGUGCAUGGUUGUCGUCAGCUCGUGUCGUGAGAUGUUGGGUUAAGUCCCGCAACGAGCGCAACCCUUAUUGUUAGUUGCCAUCAUUAAGUUGGGCACUCUAGCGAGACUGCCGGUGACAAAUCGGAGGAAGGUGGGGAUGACGUCAAAUCAUCAUGCCCCUUAUGUCCUGGGCUACACACGUACUACAAUGGCUGAUACAGCGCGAAGCGAGGCCGCGAGGCGGAGCAAAUCGCGAAAAUCAGUCCCAGUUCGGAUUGCAGGCUGCAACCCGCCUGCAUGAAGUCGGAAUUGCUAGUAAUGGCAGGUCAGCAUACUGCCGUGAAUACGUUCCCGGGCCUUGUACACACCGCCCGU